UGUUGGUGGGGUAAAGGCCUACCAAGGCGACGAUCCGUAGCUGGUCUGAGAGGAUGAUCAGCCACAGGGACUGAGACACGGCCCAGAACUCCUACGGGAGGCAGCAGUAGGGAAUAUUGGACAAUGGGGGCAACCCUGAUCCAGCCAUGCCGCGUGUGUGAAGAAGGCCUUAGGGUUGUAAAGCACUUUCAAUUGUGACGAAAAGCUAAUAGUUAAUAACUGUUUGCCUUGACGUUACCUAUAGAAGAAGCACCGGCUAACUCCGUGCCAGCAGCCGCGGUAAUACGGAGGGUGCGAGCGUUAAUCGGAUUUACUGG
Molecule: ribosomal RNA, 317 nt
Filed under: uncultured marine proteobacterium
Lineage: Bacteria; Pseudomonadati; Pseudomonadota
Description: bacterial SSU rRNA
Rfam family: Bacterial small subunit ribosomal RNA
Source: RNAcentral